AGUGAACGCUGGCGGCAGGCCUAACACAUGCAAGUCGAGCGGCAGCACGGGUAGCAAUACCUGGUGGCGAGCGGCGGACGGGUGAGGAAUACAUCGGAAUCUGCCUUGUUGUGGGGGAGUAACGUAGGGAAACGUUACGCUAAUACCGCAUAAGACCGAGAGGUGAAAGACGGGGAGUCGAAAGACCUCGCGCGACAAGAUGAGCCGAUGUCGGAUUAG
This 219-nucleotide ribosomal RNA is filed under the name uncultured bacterium. RNAcentral describes it as "partial 16S ribosomal RNA". It matches the Rfam family "Bacterial small subunit ribosomal RNA", at positions 29 to 244 of the family's 1533-position model. The record is from RNAcentral.